This 3028-nucleotide long non-coding RNA is filed under the name Lynx pardinus (Iberian lynx). Lineage: Eukaryota; Metazoa; Chordata; Mammalia; Carnivora; Felidae. The record is from RNAcentral.
AUUCGGUCAUAAAGCAAGGUCAGUGUCAUCGCGAGACGGGUUCGGGAUCGGAACUCAGUGACAUUUCACGACGCGUUGAACUUGGCUUCCUCGUGCACGGGCACACGAGGCCGGGCGGCCUGGGUCAGGUCGAGCUGGGUCAGCUUGGGCACAGGCUGCUUACUGGGUUCGAGCGGCAGAAAGUCUGUUUUGUUCAGAGGUCAGUCUGGAGAGUCUGACGUUUGUGCGAAUCCUCCCCUUUAAGGGGAUUUAAUCAGACUUAGGCCUCGGCUGCUGGCGUCCCUGCCUGACGUGUGCCACCCCAUCUUGAUCUCCACGCAGGCCCUCGGGUUCCUGGCGGGAUUCCACCGAGCCCGCAGCCCCGUGUCUGUGUCCCAGUGUGCAGUGAGUGACCUCCUCGGGGUGGGGGGGACAGCGGGCUGCUUCACUGCCCGGACCCUGACAGGGUGUCUAUGCUAGGGGCACGGGGGGCACGCCUUGCAGAGCUCAGAGGUCAGGUCAGCUGGGAGCCCGCGACCUCAGGGGCGCUGGUGUGGGGCGGGGAAGGCCCCAGAGCCCCCCUGUGCGACCAGGCCUCCUUCUGGAAGGAAAAGUGGGGAGAAACGAGGUAACAUCUCAGGCCCCCGUGUGAGCCGGGCGGUUUUUGCGAUGAGAUUGUUCUCGGGAAACUGGAGAUGCGGGGCCAGGCUCAGGCGCGAAGUAGGUGCUGGGGGUCCCGCGGCGGCAGCCCGCCCAGCACAGAGCUGCAUGCAGGGGUUCCGGCCAGUGAGCCACCAGCGCCUGGGGUGGGGGGGAUGGAGAGUUGCUCGGAGCAGAAUUCCUGUUUUCCUAAAUUGAGGGUAAGUUCACAUAAUGUAGAAUUAUCCAGUUUUAAGUGAACAAUUCAGGGGCAUUUGGUACAUUGGUUAUAUUGUGCCACCAUCACCCCUAUCUAGUUCCAGCACAUUCCAUCACCCCAAAAGAAGCCCCCGUCUCAUCAGCCAUCAUCUCCCCCCGCCCCCACGAGCCCCCUUCUCAUCCGUGGACGAGCCCGUUCUGGACGUUUCACACACGCGGACUCACACCCCGUGUGGCCUCUCGUGUCCGGGUCUCUCCCUGAGCGUCGUGUGUUCGGGUCCGUCACUCCUGCUCGUGGCUCAGUGAUGUGCGCAUGCACGGGGGACGCGUUGGUCUGUGGACGUGCGUGUGCACCGUGGACACGUCGUGUGUGUCCCUCCACAAGUGGGCGGGCAUCUUUGGCUGCUGGGAACAGUUGCGAGCGGGCAUCGUGGGCACACUCGCGUGUGCAGUUUGCGACGUGCACACACGGGCAGCGAGUCUCUGCCUGGCUGUCUUCCACGGCGGCCGGCCCGUUUUACCGUCUUCCCAUCGCUGCGUGGACGCGGUGCGGAUCCUGGGGUCGGACCCUGGCCUUGGUGCCUGGUGGACUCAGGCUGUCGCCAGGCACCGCGGACCAUGUGGUGUGUUUUCAUCAUCCGAGAGCCGGGUGCACGGAGAGGGCUGGGAAGCUGGACAAGUUUGGGCAGCCCCAAGCUGCGCUGCCGCCUUGGACUCCGUGGGCUGGUAAAACCUGCCCCGAGUGUUUGCCGCACCACUUUCUUGAGCGUGAGGUUCGUGUCCCUGCGAGGCAAGGCGAGGCGCCAGGGGCCAUGACUGCUUGCUCGUCUGUAGUUGCACCUGGUGGCUUCUUUCCAGCGUUUUCUUCCUGAAGUGGGGGCAUGGGGAGUGGGGGGACGGGGAGGGCAGAGCAGGGAUUCCCCCUCCCCCCCCCCAGCCUGCAGGAGCCCAGGCAGCCUUUUACCCUCCCCUCCAGGCCUCAUCGCAACUCGGGAAACUGAGGCUCAGGCAGUCCCAGUCGGUCACUCCUCCCAGAGGUGGGGGAUAUGAAGCAUCAUCUGCCUGAUCCUGGUUUCCAGCCACCUUCAGGGUCCGUCCGGGCACUGGCAACCCGCCUUGGUCCCGUGGAUUCCUGUGAUGGUCUCACAGACAGUGGCCUGAGCUCUGCGGAGGCAAAUGAUGUCCACACACAGCCCACGGUGUUUACAGCAGCUUCAUUCAUAAUUGGCCAAACCUGGGAGCAAGUGUGCUGCCCUUCCUUCAACAGGUGACAGAUAGACUGUGGUCCAUCCGGCACUAAGAACAAGCCAUCGAGCCACGCAGAGCCACAGAGGAGCCUCAGACGCACAGCACUCGGUGACAGAAGCCAGGCUGAGGAGGUGACACACGGGGUGGUUCCAAGUCCAGGAUGUUCUGGACAAGGCAGGACCACGGAGGCACGGCUGCCGGGGUGGGGGAGGGUGAAUGGGAGGAGCACAGGAAUUUCAGGGCCGUGGGUCUACUCCGGACGACACCGUGGUGGUGGGCAGGUGUCCGUGACAUUCGUCCGAACCCACGGGGUGUGCCGCACCAGGAGUGACCUCGUGUCCGCUGUGGACCGUGGUUCGUAACGUUCAGAGCUGGCUCACCCGUGUGACUAACGUACCAGACCAAUGCACAUUGCUAAUGAUGAAAAGACACCACGGUGAGGGAGACGGAGGGAACUCUGUGCAGGUCCUGCUCAGUUUUUUGUAACCCUCAAACUGAUUUUUUAAAAAGCCUAUUUUUUUUUUUUUAAACAAGGAUACUGAGAAGCAGGGCGUGGGUCCUUGUAAAGCGAGGUCUGGAUGUGACACCGAUGACAAAACGAGCAGAGGAUCUGAACAGCUGUUUCUCCGAAGAAGCCAUCCGGAUGGCUACCAGACACAUGAAAAGAUGCUCAGCGUCGCUCAGCAUCAGGGAAACGCACGCCAGAACCACAGUGAGUCCCCACCUCCCGCAGUUGGGAGCGGCUGAAAUCCACAGCUCAGGAAACACGUGUUGGCGAGGACGCCGAGAAACGGGAACCCUCUUGCACUGCUGGUGGGAGUGCAAACCAGUGCAGCCGCUCUGGAGAACAGUGUGGAGGGUCCUGAGAGCACAAAUACUACCCUUGGGUCCAGCAAAUGCACCACUAGGUACUUUCCCAGAGGGAGUGGAAGCUCUGGCGCGA